Molecule: ribosomal RNA, 274 nt
Filed under: uncultured bacterium
Lineage: Bacteria
Description: partial 16S ribosomal RNA
Rfam family: Bacterial small subunit ribosomal RNA
Source: RNAcentral
AUACGGAGGAUGCGAGCGUUAUCCGGAUUCAUGGGGUUUAAAGGGUGCGUAGGCGGAAUAAUAAGUCAGGGGUGAAAGUUUGCGGCUCAACCGUACAAUUGCCUUUGAUACUGUUAUUCUUGAGUACACGCGAGGUAUGCGGAAUGUGAUGUGUAGCGGUGAAAUGCUUAGAUAUAUCACAGAACACCGAUUGCGAAGGCAGCAUACUAGAGUGUCACUGACGCUGAUGCACGAAAGCGUGGGUAUCGAACAGGAUUAGAAACCCUAGUAGUCC